GAUGAAGAACGUAGCGAAAUGCGAUACUUGGUGUGAAUUGCAGAAUCCCGUGAAACAUCGAGUCUUUGAACGCAAGUUGCGCCUCAAGCCAUUAGGUUGAGGGCACGUCUGCCUGGGCGUCACAUAUCGUUGCCUGAUGCCAGUUUCCUCGUGAUGGGUGACUGUGCAGGGCGAAUGAUGGCUUCCCGUGAGCAUUGUUGCCUCAUGGUUGGUUGAAAAUUGAGUCCUUGGUAGGGAGCGCCGUGAUAGAUGGUGGUUGAGUGACGAACGAGACCCAAUCAUGUGAGACCCCUACCGAAUUUGGCCUUCAUGACCCACAUGCGUCUUUGGAACGCUCAUGACGAGACCUCAGGUCAGGCGGGGCUACCCGCUGAGUUUAAGCAUAUCAAUAAGCGGAGGA
RNAcentral lists this unclassified non-coding RNA (400 nucleotides) under soil metagenome. RNAcentral's name for it is "partial contains 5.8S ribosomal RNA, internal transcribed spacer 2, and large subunit ribosomal RNA". The stretch from base 1 to 122 matches the Rfam family "5.8S ribosomal RNA", at positions 35 to 154 of the family's 154-position model. The record is from RNAcentral.